This 863-nucleotide ribosomal RNA is filed under the name uncultured bacterium. RNAcentral describes it as "bacterial SSU rRNA". It matches the Rfam family "Bacterial small subunit ribosomal RNA", at positions 8 to 853 of the family's 1533-position model. The record is from RNAcentral.
AGAGUUUGAUCCUGGCUCAGGACGUACGCUGGCGGCGUGCCUAAUACAUGCAAGUAGAACGCUGAAGAGAGGAGCUUGCUCUUCUUGGAUGAGUUGCGAACGGGUGAGUAACGCGUAGGUAACCUGCCUUGUAGCGGGGGAUAACUAUUGGAAACGAUAGCUAAUACCGCAUAACAAUGGAUGACACAUGUCAUUUAUUUGAAAGGGGCAAUUGCUCCACUACAAGAUGGACCUGCGUUGUAUUAGCUAGUAGGUGAGGUAAUGGCUCACCUAGGCGACGAUACAUAGCCGACCUGAGAGGGUGAUCGGCCACACUGGGACUGAGACACGGCCCAGACUCCUACGGGAGGCAGCAGUAGGGAAUCUUCGGCAAUGGGGGCAACCCUGACCGAGCAACGCCGCGUGAGUGAAGAAGGUUUUCGGAUCGUAAAGCUCUGUUGUAAGUCAAGAACGGGUGUGAGAGUGGAAAGUUCACACUGUGACGGUAGCUUACCAGAAAGGGACGGCUAACUACGUGCCAGCAGCCGCGGUAAUACGUAGGUCCCGAGCGUUGUCCGGAUUUAUUGGGCGUAAAGCGAGCGCAGGCGGUUUGAUAAGUCUGAAGUUAAAGGCUGUGGCUCAACCAUAGUUCGCUUUGGAAACUGUCAAACUUGAGUGCAGAAGGGGAGAGUGGAAUUCCAUGUGUAGCGGUGAAAUGCGUAGAUAUAUGGAGGAACACCGGUGGCGAAAGCGGCUCUCUGGUCUGUAGCUGACGCUGAGGCUCGAAAGCGUGGGGAGCGAACAGGAUUAGAUACCCUGGUAGUCCACGCCGUAAACGAUGAGUGCUAGGUGUUGGAUCCUUUCCGGGAUUCAGUGCCGCAGCU